AUUGAACGCUGGCGGCAGGCCUAACACAUGCAAGUCGAGCGGCAGCACGGGAGCUUGCUCCUGGUGGCGAGCGGCGGACGGGUGAGUAAUGCCUAGGAAUCUGCCUGUUAGUGGGGGAUAACUCGGGGAAACUCGAGCUAAUACCGCAUACGUCCUACGGGAGAAAGUGGGGGACCUUCGGGCCUCACGCUAACAGAUGAGCCUAGGUCGGAUUAGCUAGUUGGUGGGGUAAAGGCCUACCAAGGCGACGAUCCGUAGCUGGUCUGAGAGGAUGAUCAGCCACACUGGAACUGAGACACGGUCCAGACUCCUACGGGAGGCAGCAGUGGGGAAUAUUGGACAAUGGGCGCAAGCCUGAUCCAGCCAUGCCGCGUGUGUGAAGAAGGUCUUCGGAUUGUAAAGCACUUUAAGUUGGGAGGAAGGGCUGUUACCUAAUACGUGACAGUUUUGACGUUACCAACAGAAUAAGCACCGGCUAACUUCGUG
Molecule: ribosomal RNA, 486 nt
Filed under: uncultured bacterium
Lineage: Bacteria
Description: bacterial SSU rRNA
Rfam family: Bacterial small subunit ribosomal RNA
Source: RNAcentral